Molecule: ribosomal RNA, 253 nt
Filed under: uncultured bacterium
Lineage: Bacteria
Description: partial 16S ribosomal RNA
Rfam family: Bacterial small subunit ribosomal RNA
Source: RNAcentral
UACAGAGGUCUCAAGCGUUGUUCGGAUUCAUUGGGCGUAAAGGGUGCGUAGGCGGCGCGGUAAGUCGGGUGUGAAAUUUCGAGGCUUAACUUCGAAACUGCAUUCGAUACUGCCGUGCUUGAGGACUGGAGAGGAGACUGGAAUUUACGGUGUAGCGGUGAAAUGCGUAGAUAUCGUAAGGAAGACCAGUGGCGAAGGCGAAUCUCUGGACAGUUACUGACACUGAGGCACGAAGGCCAGGGGAGCAAACGGG